Molecule: non-coding RNA, 72 nt
Organism: Phrynosoma platyrhinos (Desert horned lizard)
Lineage: Eukaryota; Metazoa; Chordata; Lepidosauria; Squamata; Phrynosomatidae
Source: the annotation of a GenBank genome assembly
GUUAGGGUGGUAUAGUGGUUUGAGCAUUGGACUAUGAUGCUGGAGACCAGGGUUCGAAUUCCUUCUCCACCA